AGAAUCAACGCUGGCGGCGUACCUAACACAUGCAAGUCGAACGAGAAAGGGGAGCAAUCCCUGAGUAAAGUGGCGCACGGGUGAGUAACACGUGACUAACCUACCCUGGAGUGGGGGAUAACUGAGGGAAACCUUAGCUAAUACCGCAUAACACCUACGGGUCAAAGGAGCAAUUCGCUUUGGGAGGGGGUCGCGGCCGAUUAGUUAGUUGGCGGGGUAAUGGCCCACCAAGACAGUGAUCGGUAUCCGGCCUGAGAGGGCGCACGGACACACUGGAACUGAAACACGGUCCAGACUCCUACGGGAGGCAGCAGUGGGGAAUUUUGCGCAUGGGGGAAACCCUGACGCAGCAACGCCGCGUGGAGGAUGAAGUACUUCGGUACGUAAACUCCUUUCGAUCGGGACGAUAAUGACGGUACCGGAAGAAGAAGCCCGGCUAACUUCGUGCCAGCAGCCGC
Molecule: ribosomal RNA, 458 nt
Filed under: uncultured bacterium
Lineage: Bacteria
Description: SSU rRNA
Rfam family: Bacterial small subunit ribosomal RNA
Source: RNAcentral